AAAAACAUAACCUUUAGCAAAACAAAUAUUAAAGGCAACGCCUGCCCAGUGAAUAAUUAAACGGCCGCGGUACCCUAACCGUGCAAAGGUAGCAUAAUCAUUUGUCUACUAAUUAUAGACCUGUAUGAAAGGCAAAAUGAGGGUCUAACUGUCUCUUAUAAUAAAUCAAUUAAACUGAUCUACUAGUAAAAAAGCUAGAAUAACAACAUAAGACCAGAAGACCCUGUGAAGCUUAAAUUAAACUAUUAAAUCAAAUAAUAACUACUUUCGGUUGGGGCGACCUUGGAAAAAAAAAGAACUUCCAAGAUCCAGCAUAGCUGAUAAUUGAACCAAGUUACUCCAGGGAUAACAGCGCAAUCUUCUUCAAGAGUCCAUAUCAAAAGGAAGGUUUACGACCUCGAUGUUGGAUCAGGACAUCCUAAUGGUGCAGCCGCUAUUAAGGGUUCGUUUGUUCAAC
RNAcentral lists this ribosomal RNA (457 nucleotides) under Arizona elegans. RNAcentral's name for it is "partial 16S ribosomal RNA". It matches the Rfam family "Bacterial large subunit ribosomal RNA", at positions 1809 to 2585 of the family's 2925-position model. The record is from RNAcentral. Lineage: Eukaryota; Metazoa; Chordata; Lepidosauria; Squamata; Colubridae.